GAUCCUGGCUCGGGAUGAACGCUAGCUACAAGCUUAACACAUGCAAGUCGAGGGGCAGCAUUUCAGUUUGCUUGCAAACUGGAGAUGGCGACCGGCGCACGGGUGAGUAACACGUAUCCAACCUGCCGAUAACUCGGGGAUAGCCUUUCGAAAGAAAGAUUAAUACCCGAUAGUAUAAUGAAACCGCAUGGUCUUAUUAUUAAAGAAUUUCGGUUAUCGAUGGGGAUGCGUUCCAUUAGGCAGUUGGUG
This 249-nucleotide ribosomal RNA is filed under the name uncultured bacterium. Its description in RNAcentral is "partial 16S ribosomal RNA". It matches the Rfam family "Bacterial small subunit ribosomal RNA", at positions 15 to 254 of the family's 1533-position model. The record is from RNAcentral.